GAUGAACGCUGGCGGCGUGCCUAAUACAUGCAAGUCGAGCGAACAGAUAAGGAGCUUGCUCCUUUGACGUUAGCGGCGGACGGGUGAGUAACACGUGGGGAACCUACCUAUAAGACUGGGAUAACUUCGGGAAACCGGAGCUAAUACCGGAUAACAUUUGUAACCGCAUGGUUCUAAAGUGAAAGAUGGAUUUGCUUUCCCUUAUAGAUGGCCCGCCGCGUAUUAGCCAGUUGGGAAGGUAAAGGCUAACCAAGGCGACCAUACGUAGCCGACCUGAGAGGGUGAUCGGCCACACUGGAACUGAGACACGGUCCAGACUCCUACGGGAGGAAGCAGUAGGGAAUCUUCCGCAAUGGGCGAAAGCCUGACGGAGCAACGCCGCGUGAGUGAGGAAGGGUUUCGGCUCGUAAAACUCUGUUAUUAGGGAAGAACAAAUGUGUAAGUAACUGUGCACGUCUUGACGGUACCUAAUCAGAAAGCCACGGCUAACUACGUG
Molecule: ribosomal RNA, 496 nt
Filed under: uncultured bacterium
Lineage: Bacteria
Description: partial 16S ribosomal RNA
Rfam family: Bacterial small subunit ribosomal RNA
Source: RNAcentral